CGUACUUCCAAGGGCAAGUUUUUCCACAUUCUCCCAGUCACUUUGGAAACGUGUCCAAUGUCUGCUUCAUUUCCCCCGUUUCCAAGCUCUUUUAUGACAUCGGACUGUUAAGGUGCGGCCACACCAGACGCGUAUCUCGCGUACUUCGCGUAUGAAAUCGCCAUUUUUUCCAUAGGGAACCAUUGGUUUACGCGCGUAUUACGCGUAUUAAGCAACAUUUUACGCGCGUAUAGCGCGUAUGUGGCGCGUAUAUUUACGCGCAAUACGCGCUAUACGCGCGUAUAUCGCGUACAUUUCAAGAGUUCAAAAAAUUGAACUUUUUACGCGAAGUACGCGAGAUACGCGUCUGACGAGACACGCAUUGCCCAAUCAGCGUUGAGCUUGACCCGACGUCACUGGCAGAGAGUAGUGAGCUUGGACAGAAGCAUACGGCCGACAUCUUUCUUUAUUCUGUGUGGAAAUAGUAACAUAGUUACGCCAUUAAAUGCUUUUAUGGAAACAUUUCUAGCGAGAAAUGUGCAUUUUACUUUCAUAAUGUUCACUCGGUGAAUGUGAAGGAUGUUUGGUUUGAUAGUUAUGACGAAGAGGGAACGCUCCGUUCACUUGCAUGGACAGAGUCUCUGGUUACUAAGCAACCUCAACGUCUUGGCGGACUAUUUCUCUGCUGAUCAACACUACAGACACUACACGAACAGAAAUGGAGGUCGAUCAAAAUAUCAUCGUCGCCGUGUGCGGCCGUCCUGUCCUGUACGACACCACGAUGGUGUCGUACAAGGACAGGAACAAAACAGAGAGGGCGUGGGUCGACGUGGCAGAGGAUAUUGGCGUUCCUGUGGACGUAUGUCGCAGGAGGUGGAAGUCACUCAGGGACAGGUACAUGAGAUACAAAAAGAAUGAAAAGGAGGGAAAAAAGAGCGGGUCAGCGGCAGGGAGAGUGGACACGUGGAGAUUUGCUAGGGUCCUGUCCUUCCUCGACCCCUUUGUCACCCCGAGGGAGACCAGCAGCAAUUUACCUCUGGGGGCAGAGGAGGUUGAGGGGGACGGGGCUCCAGAGACUCCACUGUCAGGGGCAGGAGAAGAUGAGGAGCUUGAGCAGGCAGCAGCAUCGCACAAUACAGACCAGCCCAGCAGUGAGUCUGAUAUAGAGGACGCUGAUGCUGCUCCUGCUCCUGCUCCUGCUCCUGCCCCUGUCCCUGCCGCUGUCCCUUCCCAUGUACCUGUCCCUGAGGCUGCCCCUGCCCCAAGACCACAGGGCGCGACGAAGAGGAAGAGAGCAGCCAGGGUACCGGAGGGGAAUACUGUCCAGACAGCCAUCCUCCAGGCCCUGCAGAGGCAUAAUUCUGUGCCUACCCCUACCCCCCUUUCUGGGAAUGAGCACUUUGCCAUGGGCCUAGUUCCUUCCCUGGAUAGAUUGCCACCUGAAGUACUGGAGUACGUUAAAUUCCAAAUCCGUAAAGUCAUAUUUGACCAUUCUAAUUUCACCGUUCAAUUGGAACCUAUUUAAGCUUAUUAGCUAGUGGUGGUGACAAUCUCUCCAGGGAAAGAACUAGGCUGAUGUCACUGUUAACUGUUCAUUUGUUAUUGUUCUGUUCUGUUUAUAUUAUAUUGUUCUAUGUUAUUUUUAUUAUUUAUAUUUUUAUAAUUAUUUUUUAAAUAAAAUAUUUCUCACAACUCUUCUCUCAAUAUAUGAUUGUAAGUUCUAGCAUGCAUGGACACAAAUAUACAUUUUUAAUAACACUACUUAAUUGAACAAUUUUAAAAACAAUUUAAUAAUAAUGAAGGAAUCCCUUUUGUUUUGUGUGGGUGGCUCUUAAAAGAGCCGUUUUGGGGUUGUUGUGCACUGCACUAUACGAUGGUGUCAUGCCACGAGACGGUCCCUUCUGCAGAGAAGUAGGAGGUGAAGGUCUCGCGGAUCCGGAUGGCCUCUCCCCCGGCAUUGUUGGCAGCCACUCUCCCCAGCCCUGGCAGAGGCAACACCACACCAACAGGGAGGCAAUCUCUCACUUCUGCUGUUGGUGCUGUUCUGCGGAGGAGGUUGUGGAGAGGGGGAGGAUGCGUCCGGGGAAUGGCCUCAUGAGGUUGGUCCGUAGCGGAAAGGCCUCGUCCGCUACAAACACAUGAGGCAGGGGUCCUCUCUGCGCAGCCGCUGACAGUACUCUGUCAGCAGGGAGCUUGAGAUCGCCAGCUCGGAGGGCCUGACCAAACACCGAGUUGGCCAGAAUUCCUCCAUCACUGGUUCUCCCAUAGCCCCCCACAUCGAUGAUGCGGAAGCACUUGUCUGCGUCGACAACUGCCAAGAGAACAAUGGAAAAUGUUCCCUUGUAGUUGAAGAACUGCGAACCGGAGUUCGCAGGGGCCUUCAGAACAACAUGCUUCCCUUUCGAUGGCACCGCAACAGAGAGGGAAGUUCCACUGCUCCUCGAACUGCUGCGCAAUCACCCUCCAGUCCUCGGUAGUGGGCACAGCCAUGAACUCCUCCACCAGGCAGUCCCAUAUAGCCGUCACCCCAUCGGACACGAUGGAAGCCACGGUGGAGGACCCGACCCGGAAGCUGGUGGCUAUCGUCCGGAACGAAUCGCCAGUAGCCAGGAAUCUGCAACACAUGAAUAAUUUAUUUUAGCCUCAUUGAGAAUUUUUGUUGUAUACCAAAUAUGUAGGCCAAUUAUCUCACUGAUAUCACUGCACAGGUAUAUGUCUUGACUAGUGUUUACAGUGGAUUUGCAUCAGCUUAUUUUACUUUCAAAAACAUGACAAGGAGGUCAAGAAUGAAUAUUUUGGAGCCAUGAUGCAUUUAUUUAUUUUGUUUAUAUAAAACUCUGGUGACAUGCAUGUAUAUGAAGAUUUGCGUUUAGGUUGAAACCAUAGAUAAUAAAUAAAAACACUGUUGAAACACUGGGUGGAGCAUUGACAGGAAAUGCAUAGCAGGUAGGUGCAAGAGGGGAAACAGAUGUGCAAAGCAAACUGCUUUAUCACCAUGUUGUCAGCACGCUUUCGUUUGACUUGUGUUGAAUUUAACCCAAUGAAUAUUGACUGAUGUCACAAUGGCCUAUGCUCCCCCGUGCUUAGUUGAGCAUAGUGCACGAUGCUUGAAUAAAUGGGUAUGCACUAUCAGACCACGCGCCCGAACAAUUUCUCCCCGUUAUGUAUAUAGUUUUUGACUACAGAAUGUGCUGAUUGUUAUAGAGUAAUUAGGCUAUGAAACCGCAACUUACCGGAGACAGACAGACAGGCGCUCCGCAGUUGAUAUGGAGCGCCUGUAGUUGGUGUCCUGACGGGAGAUCCUGGCACCAACCCGGGCUAGCAGGUCAUCGAACUGGGCCCGACUCAGUCGAAAGUACCGCUGAAACCGGCCGUCAUCCAGGCGGAGUUCUUGGAGCAAGUGGUGAAACUCACCCAGCUGUAGCCGUCUCCGGAGGAUGUCGUGCACCCAAACACGACGGCGUUUGCGUUUGCGACGCUCCUCGGACUCCCACAGCAAAUAAAGCGCAGCGAUGGUGCCGAUAUCAGCCAUGUUUCAGAACAAAAGAAAAUAGAGGGGGGGGGGAGUUUUUGGCGGGCUCAUCUAGGCGAGUGACGUAGGCGCGUAUACCGCGUACAAUUUUUUGACACAAAAUGGUCAAGCAACAUUUUACGCGCGUAUCUCGCGUAAAAAGUACGCGAGAUACGCGUCUGGUGUGGCCGCACCUUUAAACAUAGCAAUGGCAAACGGUGUUACAUGGCAACCAUUCAUAUGGAGGGAAUAUAUUUCUUGGCGGAAGAAUGAUUAUCUAUGAAUAUAUCGUUACAUUUUUCGUUGCUGUGCCUUUGUUUAAUUAAAUCUUGCUAGAUCAACGUAGUAACCGUUUAAGAAAAGCAAUAAGCCACUCGAGUCUGUGCUUUGUACUGUAUAAUAAAUCCCCUUAGCUGUUCGAUUAGCCUACAGUAUAAAGCACGGCCUCUCGGGGCUUAUUGCUUAAAUAUAAUAUAAUACAUACAAUAAUACAUAUAAUAAUACAAUAUAAUGCUAAAUUAUACCGCAACUGCCUGGAAAAAUGUAUUCCAUCCUGUCGGCUUUUUAAUGGAUUUUUUUUUUGCACCUGCAGAGUCAUUAGCACCGCUAUGUUCCGCCAUUUUUUCAUAAUAAUAACAGGACCGACCUUACGUCGUGACGUCAGGAGCGACGUUGAAUGGCAUCGACCCUUUCAGAUGGCAAUGACCGUUUACGAAAGGGAAAUCUGCGGCGCCGCCCCUGCAAAAGCGCUUUUUAAAAGCUGGUUUGUACAUCCCGGGUCCCGUAGGCACCUCCAUAUCUACCCCUCACCACUGGAUGUCGCCCUCUUUCGUUUGUGAGAAACAAUUACGAGAAUGGACGAUAAGAGACUGGUCGUCGAGGUGGACAAAUAUGUCGAAUUGUAUGACCAAAGUUCCCGUCAUUACAAAGACAACUCCAAAAAGGUCAUUGCCUGGCGAGCCAUAGCUCUGGAGAUUGGAUCUUCAGGUGAGAAAUCAACAAUGGUGGACUAAGUACCCAAACCAUUAACCAUAAUGGGAAAUAGACGAAAUCAAGUAUUGAUUUCAAUAUAUACAUUAUUUUCAAAUAUAAUGUAUUUUCCACUAGCUAGUGGUGGUCAUUACAUUGUAGUGAAAGUAGUAAAGACAACACAGCUUUAUGUUACGGCGAAACAUGGAGGCACUGCAGCUCUCGACAAUGCGUUACUUUAGUCUGGUAUUUCUCUUCACUGAUUGGUUCGACAGCCUUCAAACUUAGUGGUCAAGCAAAGAAGAGGGAGGGGCUUGUUCUGCAUACCUAAUAGCCGUACUGAAAACUAAUAGCCGCGGCUAUUAGUCAUUCAAAAACCGUACGGAAUUCCUGCCAAACCGCACGGAUUCCGUACGGUUUUCGUGCGGUUUAGCACUUUUACCGCGCCAUUCUAGGGCCAGUUAUGCCGCUUUUCCACCGCACAUGUAGCUCGGCUCGACUCGACUAGACACGACUUGACACGACUCGACACGGUAGCAGCACGGGUCGUUUUCCACCGCAAAUAGUACCUCCUUGUACGCGACGCAAACAACACCUACGCAACCCACACAUGGACAGAACCCACAUAACAACAAUGGAGGACAUCGAUAACAUUACUAUUAUUAGCUGGUAUGUUGAAGAAGUUGAAGAAGUGGAAUAUGUUGGCUGCGGCGCUGCUAUGGCUGUUACCAGCAUGGUUGCAACUUGCCAUGUCGCUCUCGUGACUUCGUCACACUCUCUGGCCAAUCAGUGGCUGGCCGUCUGCCGACGUCACCUUUUAGCAUCGGCUCAGCCGCUUGGAACCUAGAGUGAGGCGGUACUAGAAAAAGCAGCCACUUCAGGUACCAGAUACCAUGUUUUCGCGGUGGAAACGCAAAAAAGGCGAGCUGAGUCGAGUCGAGUCGUGACGAGCUGGUACCAUGCAGUGGAAAAGCGGCAUUAGUGGCCUUCUUGUCUUUCCAUAGAAAGCCGCCGCUCUGCUCCCCAGGUGAACUAACACCGCCCCCCCCCCCCCCCCCCCCCUCUUCUUUUGGAAGCUCUCUGCUGCUCCCUGCUGGCAGUCUCACUACACUGUCCGCAUGUUUCACAAAUAGAGUUUGGAGAGACGUUGUCAGUGUCUGUAUGUUGCUUAAAUUCUCCAAAACAGUGGGCGCUAAAGAUCAGGGCACGGCAGGCCAUUACAGCCAAUGAGCUCGAGUUGAAAAGAAAAUAGCUUACAGCACCUGGUAUUCCCCUCUCCUGGAACCGUCACCUUAUCGUGGUGGAGAGGUUUGCGUGUCCCUGUGAACCUGAGAGCUGUGUUGUCGGGAGCCUUGUGCUCCUGGUAGGGUCUCUCAUGGCAGAGUGGUCUCA
Molecule: long non-coding RNA, 5851 nt
Organism: Gadus morhua (Atlantic cod)
Lineage: Eukaryota; Metazoa; Chordata; Actinopteri; Gadiformes; Gadidae
Source: Ensembl